Molecule: ribosomal RNA, 253 nt
Filed under: uncultured bacterium
Lineage: Bacteria
Description: partial 16S ribosomal RNA
Rfam family: Bacterial small subunit ribosomal RNA
Source: RNAcentral
UACGUAGGGGGCAAGCGUUGUCCGGAUUUAUUGGGCUUAAAGGGUGCGUAGGCGGUCUUGUAAGUCAGUGGUGAAAUACGGCAGCUCAACUGUCGAGGUGCCAUUGAUACUGUAGGACUUGAGUACAGACGAGGUAGGCGGAAUUGACGGUGUAGCGGUGAAAUGCUUAGAUAUCGUCAAGAACACCGAUAGCGAAGGCAGCUUACUAGGCUGUAACUGACGCUGAGGCACGAAAGUGUGGGGAUCAAACAGG